GAAAUCUCUACCAUCACCACUUCAUUCCUUUUCUUCCUUUCUUCUUCUGUUCUUUUUUUCUUUCCUUUUUCUCAAACUCCAUUAGCAUGAUUUGAAGCUUUUGAUAGAGAAGAUAAUUAAGGUUUGGAGAAAUUUUCAUUGUUGAUAGAUUUAAUUGAAGAGCAAGGAGAUUAAUAGAGAUGUGUCCAAGGGCAAGGAAGUGGCAAGAAGAGAGGAAUAGGACUACCUUGUUGUCCUAUAAAUUUGUGAAAGCUGAGCCGGGCAGAUAGCUACUCGAGUAUGUGAGGUGGCGAGACUGAGCCGGGUGGAUAAUCUUGUCAGGUAGCCACCAAAAUGUGAAUUAAGUGAGGAAAUGUGAGCUUAAGUCUUCUGACCCUAAUUUUAUGAGAAUUAAUGUAAAAUGGAAUUGUUUGUUUGGUUAAAAUAUUGAAUUGGUUGAGUUUGAAA
Long non-coding RNA from Ricinus communis (castor bean), 447 nucleotides. RefSeq lists it as uncharacterized. NCBI's taxonomy places the organism in Eukaryota, Viridiplantae, Streptophyta, Magnoliopsida, Malpighiales, Euphorbiaceae. The transcript is spliced from 3 exons. The record is from RefSeq and is a predicted model, not a curated record.